RNAcentral lists this ribosomal RNA (515 nucleotides) under uncultured bacterium. RNAcentral describes it as "partial 16S ribosomal RNA". It matches the Rfam family "Bacterial small subunit ribosomal RNA", at positions 28 to 523 of the family's 1533-position model. The record is from RNAcentral.
GAUGAACGCUGGCGGCGUGCCUAAUACAUGCAAGUCGAGCGAAUGGAUUAAGAGCUUGCUCUUAUGAAGUUAGCGGCGGACGGGUGAGUAACACGUGGGUAACCUGCCCAUAAGACUGGGAUAACUCCGGGAAACCGGGGCUAAUACCGGAUAACAUUUUGAACCGCAUGGUUCGAAAUUGAAAGGCGGCUUCGGCUGUCACUUAUGGAUGGACCCGCGUCGCAUUAGCUAGUUGGUGAGGUAACGGCUCACCAAGGCAACGAUGCGUAGCCGACCUGAGAGGGUGAUCGGCCGGACUGGGACUGGCACACGGCCCAGACUCCUACGGGAGGCAGCAGUAGGGAAUCUUCCGCCAUGGACGAAAGUCUGACGGAGCAACGCCGCGUGAGUGAUGAAGGCUUUCGGGUCGUAAAACUCUGUUGUUAGGGAAGAACAAGUGCUAGUUGAAUAAGCUGGCACCUUGACGGUACCUAACCAGAAAGCCACGGCUAACUACGUGCCAGCCGCCGCAGUAA